AUGGGUAUGCUGGAAUUAGGAAAACAGGAUGGUUUUAGGAACCAUUGAUUUAAUAUCUUGUCGGUUCAAGUCCGACUACCUUUA
Molecule: transfer RNA, 84 nt
Filed under: Hirsutella vermicola
Lineage: Eukaryota; Fungi; Ascomycota; Sordariomycetes; Hypocreales; Ophiocordycipitaceae
Description: tRNA-Leu
Rfam family: tRNA
About the family: Transfer RNA (tRNA) molecules are approximately 80 nucleotides in length. Their secondary structure includes four short double-helical elements and three loops (D, anti-codon, and T loops).
Source: RNAcentral